Non-coding RNA from Arachis ipaensis, 910 nucleotides. NCBI's taxonomy places the organism in Eukaryota, Viridiplantae, Streptophyta, Magnoliopsida, Fabales, Fabaceae. The record is from RefSeq and is a predicted model, not a curated record.
AAUAAAACCCUAAUUUCUUUUCCUGUAAACUCACUACACUCCCCUCUCUAUCCACAGGACCACCACCACCUACUCCACUCUUCUCUGAUCUUCGCCGUCGCUGUCACCGUCCAGCCCAGCACUCGCUACCAAUCUCCGCCCAUCUCCCGACAUCGUUCUUAGCCUCUCUCUCCUCGUCGUUCAUUCGUAGUAUCCCUCUUCUCUCUUCGAGUCGUUCGUUAUUAGCCUUAGUACACCAUCGUUCUCUCUACCGUCGUCGUGGCACCCGCGGGCGUCGUCGUUCUCACUCCUCAGCGGCGUCAUCCUUAGCAGGCAUCGAGCUGUGGCGUGGAUCUCAGCGAGUUGAGCGUCGACGUCAGCGCCGUGGUGCUCAGUCUUCCCCCUUUAUCCUCCACUUCCAAAGUUCCAAUGGAGUCUCAGCCUCAAUGGCACCAAAAUGGUGUUGCCACUUAAUGAUUGGAAACAACCAGUUGGUGAGGCAGCUGGCCUCUUAGGACAAGCUCUUGGACAAUUGGGUGCCAAUUUCGCUCCUGAUCUCCAUUUCAAACCUUGUGAAUUUGAAGCAUUGAUUAGAGUGGUUCCAGAUGCUGCAAGGGAAUCUCAUGAUCAGUUAUACAUUGCCAUGGAUAUUUUUCUAAAGGAAUAAGUGAUCAUGAAAACAUGAGAAUAUGUUCCACAUUGAAGCAUGAAAAGUUGUCAGCUGAAGCUGUGAGACAUCUUAGUAGGAAAACUUAACUUAUUGCUUGAGAUUAGUUUACUUGUCAAGCAGAUCAAGUUCUGUCAGUUAAGCAUUGGAGAAAUUUCAUAAUUGCAGUGUUGAUAAUAUGAUCUGGAAGAUGAAAAUCUAACAAUGCGGUUAGAAACAUCAUCAAUUCAGACCAAUUAUUAAUAGCAGUUACUAGUUUUUUUU